RNAcentral lists this small nucleolar RNA (88 nucleotides) under Sorghum bicolor (sorghum). Lineage: Eukaryota; Viridiplantae; Streptophyta; Magnoliopsida; Poales; Poaceae. The record is from RNAcentral.
GAGCAGAUGAUGUUAAACUUAUACAUAGACUGAGAUCUUUUGGGGUCUCUGAUGUCCACAAAAUCGAGCUUUUUAAAACUGAUGCUUA